Molecule: long non-coding RNA, 1115 nt
Organism: Anolis carolinensis (green anole)
Lineage: Eukaryota; Metazoa; Chordata; Lepidosauria; Squamata; Anolidae
Exons: 4
Source: RefSeq, a predicted model, not a curated record
UGACCUCACCAGAAGCAGCAUCACCAGCAAGGGUCUGCUAUAAAGCUGCUUUUGUUCAGUGACAUCAAAAGGGCUUUGGAAAAUGCUCACACAUUGCAUCAGGGUAGCUUCAAAGCAUGGUACUCUAGAUUGUUUCGGUGAGGAAUUCCAGAUUUUAAUUUCCUGGUGUCACUUUAAUGCUGGCAUACUGGCACAAAAGAAGAAGAGACCCAUUGUAGCAAGGUAAUUUUAAAUAUUUUCUCUAGUCCUAAUAGAAGAUGGUAGCAAUUGAUAAGGCACCAUAUUGAUGAAGCUCUACCAUGUUAACAACGCAGUCAUUCCAAGGCCAUUUCAUCUCACGGUCCUGAUUUCACUUUUCAGUCAAGAGUACUAUACAGGAAGAGUUACUUCCAAUUUUGAUAACCAAGUGCAAUUUCAAUAAGAGAGCUGACAAAGGCUUCGGGAAACAAGCUUGAAAAAAAAAACAUCAAAAGGAAGGAAAACAGCACAGCUGACAAGCAAUUUGUAGAGAGCAUGACAGAUUUUGUACACAUUUCAGGAAAAUCUCUCCUUUUUUUGAAAAAAGGAAAAUGUGAAUAUUAUUCACUAGAUCACUCACACAAUUAAGGUCUACCAGGUUAACACUGCACAGUAUGGGGGCUGGAGAAAAGGUGAAUUUGCUUAUAAGACUGUUGGAAAUGAUACAAACAUACGUCCCUAGAAAUCACUUCUGUCACAAAUAGGUUCUUAUAUUAUUGCAUUAUUGAAGGUGUGAUGACAUUCUCAGAAUUAUCAUUGAGUUAAAUUAUGAAUUAAUGUUAUAGUAUUAUUUUGUCUUGUCAAUUCUUAGAAUUAAAAUGCAGCCAUCUUGUCUUGGCUUGAUGCUAAACAUUGUGGAAGUUUUGUGCUAGGUCUGGAUGAAGGACAGAGUGAGCUCAAGGUGAUAUGUAGAGGCAGAUGGAAGUGUGUAAAAGGAGCAUGUGAAGUCCCUGACUCUUCCUGGUCACCUCUUUUAGUCUGUUCAACAGUUCCUUGGUAACUGAAGCAAAAGUGUGGAUUGGUUAGCAGAUUGAAUAUAUUUAAAUAUAUAGAUCCUCACUUUUAACAGUGUCCUUCCUCAUUUAAAAUUUAAUACA